UAGGGAAUCUUCCGCAAUGGGCGAAAGCCUGACGGAGCAACGCCGCGUGAGUGAUGAAGGUCUUCGGAUCGUAAAACUCUGUUAUUAGGGAAGAACAAAUGUGUAAGUAACUAUGCACGUCUUGACGGUACCUAAUCAGAAAGCCACGGCUAACUACGUGCCAGCAGCCGCGGUAAUACGUAGGUGGCAAGCGUUAUCCGGAAUUAUUGGGCGUAAAGCGCGCGUAGGCGGUUUUUUAAGUCUGAUGUGAAAGCCCACGGCUCAACCGUGGAGGGUCAUUGGAAACUGGAAAACUUGAGUGCAGAAGAGGAAAGUGGAAUUCCAUGUGUAGCGGUGAAAUGCGCAGAGAUAUGGGGGAACACCAGUGGCGAAGGCGACUUUCUGGUCGGUAACUGACGCUGAUGUGCGAAAGCGGGGGGAUCAAACAGG
RNAcentral lists this ribosomal RNA (429 nucleotides) under Actinomycetes bacterium. RNAcentral's name for it is "Actinobacteria bacterium partial 16S ribosomal RNA". It matches the Rfam family "Bacterial small subunit ribosomal RNA", at positions 355 to 776 of the family's 1533-position model. The record is from RNAcentral. Lineage: Bacteria; Bacillati; Actinomycetota; Actinomycetes.